UUGGAGGGCAAGUCUGGUGCCAGCAGCCGCGGUAAUUCCAGCUCCAAUAGCGUAUAUUAAAGUUGUUGCAGUUAAAAAGCUCGUAGUUGAAACUUGGGCCUGGCUGGCAGGUCCGCCUCACCGCGUGUACUUGUCCGGCCGGGCCUUUCCUUCUGGAGAACCUCAUGCCCUUCACUGGGUGUGUUGGGGAACCAGGCCUUUUACUUUGAAAAAAUUAGAGUGUUCAAAGCAGGCCUUUGCUCGAAUACGUUAGCAUGGAAUAAUAGAAUAGGACGUGCGGUCCUAUUUUGUUGGUUUCUA
This 300-nucleotide ribosomal RNA is filed under the name fungal sp. RNAcentral's name for it is "SSU rRNA". It matches the Rfam family "Eukaryotic small subunit ribosomal RNA", at positions 548 to 853 of the family's 1831-position model. Lineage: Eukaryota; Fungi. The record is from RNAcentral.